Molecule: long non-coding RNA, 212 nt
Organism: Ixodes scapularis (black-legged tick)
Lineage: Eukaryota; Metazoa; Arthropoda; Arachnida; Ixodida; Ixodidae
Exons: 3
Source: RefSeq, a predicted model, not a curated record
AAGUUGCGGACAGUCCAUCAACACUGCUGCAAGCGCCGGGCUGGCAGGCCUGACGCAGUUUGGCUGGCAGCUUGCAAGCUAUGGGAACCUGGGGAACUGCACCACAAGAGUCAGAGUGACACCCACCCUGCACUCCUUCAACGCUGGCACCAUAAGGAAGGGGGAGCUGCCCCCAAAGUGAAUGCAAUGGCAGACAUCUUGGCAGUAGCGGC